CGUGCUGACGUCAAAGUGCUGCGAGGGCGUUUCGAAAGAACGGGUGCACUUCUGUCUCAUGCUACUUUGGAUUCAAUUCAAUAUCAAGGUAUGUAAAAAAAAGACAAAAUUACCCGGAGAAUUGGUUCAAACAUGCAGUGUUCAGUGGCUCCGCGGUUAAGGACACCGGCCCGAGAUCAAGAGAUCUGAGGUUCGAGCACAGGUGUCAACAUGCAUGUGAAUGGUGCCGAAGCCGGGCCUCAAUGCCUGAAGUGAGGAGGAGGAGUCUACACCUUCGUAGGGGCGGGGCUUCACAAAGGGUGCAGCCUGACACAGUAAGUGGAGAAAUCAGUACAUGUGAGUGAGCAGAAAGGAGUAAGGAGAGAGAGAGAGAGAGAAGAAUAAAAAGAGCAAGAUCAUUUUUUGAGUCCGAUGCAUAAUCAAUCAGAUACAGAGCAACCAAACUACGAUAACCUGGCUUUGAACCUUGGACCUCCUGAUCCAGAGACAAUGCUCACAGCACCUGACCCACUGGGCCCUGCACUCUUGUGACAAUUCUCCUGGUAAUUUUAUCUUUUUUUUACAUCAUAGAUGCAUAAUCAAUCAGAUGCAGAGCAACCAAACUACAAGUCCGCUGGACUUGAACCUCCUGAUCCAGAGACAAUGCUCACAGCACCUGACCCACUGGCCCUGCACUUUUGUGACAAUUCUCCUGGUAAUUUUGUCUUUUUUUUAGGUCAAUACUAUAUAAGAGGGAGCUUGCCAACCUAGAGCCCCAGAGUUCCUGAUCCAAGUGUCUGUGCUUUUACCUCCAAGCUACUGAACCAGCAGCUUGAUGGCAAAAAAAAUUUGAGUGAGGUUUAGUGUUUAUAUUAUUACGAACUUUAAAAUCAGGAUUUGAACCAGUACUUUUAAGAAUUGAAGUCGAAAGUUUAUCAAACAAGCCACUGAACCUGCGGCAUGUCGCCAAUUUUUUUUUGAGUGAGGUUUUGCGUUUGUGUGUAUUACGUUAUAUAUUUGAGAACUUGAAAAAAUCGUGGGAUUUGAACCAGAACUUUUAAAAACUGAAGUCGAAAUUUUAUCCAUCGAGCCACCGAACAAGGCGGCUUGUCGGCAAAGAAGUUUUUGAGUGAGGUUUAUUGUAUUAUAUUAUUAUGAACUUAAAAUCGUGGGAUUUGAACCAGGACUUUUAAGAAUUGAAGUCAAAAGUUUAUCCAUCGAGCCACUGAACCUGCGGCAUGUUGCUAAAAAUUUUGAGUGAGAUUUAGUGUAUUAUAUUAUUAUGAACUUUAAAAUCGUGGGAUUUGAACAAGGACUUUUAAGAUUUGAAGUCGAAAGUUUAUCCAUCGAGCCACUGAACCUGUGGCAUGUCGGCAAAUUUUUUUGAGUGAGGUUUUGCGUUUGUGUGUAUUACAUUAUAUAUUUGAGAACUUGAAAAAAUCGUGGGAUUUGAACCAGAACUUUUAAGAAUUGAAGUCGAAAUUUUAUGCAUCGAGCCACCGAACAAGGCGACUUGUCGUCAAAUAAUAUUUUGAGUGAGGUUUAGUGCAUUAUAUUAUUACGAACUUCAAAAUCGUGAGAUUUGAACCAGGACUUUUAAGAAUUGAAGUCGAAAGUUUAUCCAUCGAGCCACCGAACAAGGCGGCUUGUCGUCAAAGAAGUUUUUGAGUGAGGUUUAGUGUAUUAUAGUAUUAUGAACUUUAAAAUCGUGGGAUUUGAACAAGGACUUUUAAGAAUUGAAGUCGAAAGUUUAUCCAUCGAGCAACUGAACCUGCAAGCAUGUUGCUAAGAUUUUUUGAGUGAGGUUUAGUGUAUUAUAUUAUUAUGAACUUUAAAAUCGUGGGAUUUGAACAAGGACUUUUAAGAUUUGAAGUCGAAAGUUUAUCCAUCGAGCCACUGAACCUGCGGCAUGUCCCCGAAUUUUUUUUGAGUGAGGUUUUGCGUUUGUGUGUAUUACAUUAUAUAUUUGAGAACUUGAAAAAAUCGUGGGAAUUGAACCAGGACUUUCAAGAACUGAAGUCGAAAUUUUAUCCAUUGAGCCACCGAACAAGGCGGUUUGUCGUUACAGAAGUUUUUGAGUGAGGUUUAGUGUAUUAUAGUAUUAUGAACUUUAAAAUCGUGGUAUUUUAACAAGGACUUUUAAGAAUUGAAGUCGAAAGUUUAUCCAUCGAGCAACUGAACCUGCGGCAUGUCGCCAAAAUCUUUUGAGUGAGGUUUAGUGUUUAUAUUAUUAUGAACUUUAAAAUCGUGAGAUUUGAACCAGAACUUUUAAGAAUUGAAGUCGAAAGUUUAUCCAUCUAGCCACCGAACAAGGCGACUUGUCAUCAAAUAAUUUUGUGAGUGAGGUUUAGUGUAUUAUAUUAUUAUGAACUUUAAAAUCAUGGGAUUUGAACAAGGACUUUUAAGAUUUGAAGUCGAAAGUUUAUCCAUCGAGCCACUGAACCUGCGGCAUGUCCCCGAAUUUUUUUUGAGUGAGGUUUUGCGUUUGUGUGUAUUACGUUAUAUAUUUGAGAACUUGAAAAAAUCGUGGGAAUUGAACCAGGACUUUCAAGAAUUGAAGUCGAAAUUUUAUCCAUCGAGCCUACGAACAAGGUGGCUUGUCGUCAAAGAAGGUUUUGAGUGAGGUUUAGUGUAUUAUAUUAUUAUGAACUUUAAAAUCAUGGGAUUUGAACCAGCACUUUUAAGAAUUGAAGUCGAAAGUUUAUCCAUCGAGCCACCGAACAAGGCGGCUUGUCGUCAAAUAAGUUUUUGAGUGAGGUUUAGUGUAUUAUAGUAUUAUGAACUUUAAAAUCGUGGGAUUUGAACAAGGACUUUUAAGAAUUGAAGUCGAAAGUUUAUCCAUCGAGCAACUGAACCUGCAAGCAUGUUGCUAAGAUUUUUUGAGUGAGGUUUAGUGUAUUAUAUUAUUAUGAACUUUAAAAUCGUGGGAUUUGAACAAGGACUUUUAAGAUUUGAAGUCGAAAGUUUAUCCAUCGAGCCACUGAACCUGCGGCAUGUCCCCGAAUUUUUUUUGAGUGAGGUUUUGCGUUUGUGUGUAUUACAUUAUAUAUUUGAGAACUUGAAAAAAUCGUGGGAAUUGAACCAGGACUUUCAAGAACUGAAGUCGAAAUUUUAUCCAUUGAGCCACCGAACAAGGCGGUUUGUCGUUACAGAAGUUUUUGAGUGAGGUUUAGUGUAUUAUAGUAUUAUGAACUUUAAAAUCGUGGUAUUUUAACAAGGACUUUUAAGAAUUGAAGUCGAAAGUUUAUCCAUCGAGCAACUGAACCUGCGGCAUGUCGCCAAAAUCUUUUGAGUGAGGUUUAGUGUUUAUAUUAUUAUGAACUUUAAAAUCGUGAGAUUUGAACCAGAACUUUUAAGAAUUGAAGUCGAAAGUUUAUCCAUCUAGCCACCGAACAAGGCGACUUGUCAUCAAAUAAUUUUGUGAGUGAGGUUUAGUGUAUUAUAUUAUUAUGAACUUUAAAAUCAUGGGAUUUGAACAAGGACUUUUAAGAUUUGAAGUCGAAAGUUUAUCCAUCGAGCCACUGAACCUGCGGCAUGUCCCCGAAUUUUUUUUGAGUGAGGUUUUGCGUUUGUGUGUAUUACGUUAUAUAUUUGAGAACUUGAAAAAAUCGUGGGAAUUGAACCAGGACUUUCAAGAAUUGAAGUCGAAAUUUUAUCCAUCGAGCCUACGAACAAGGUGGCUUGUCGUCAAAGAAGGUUUUGAGUGAGGUUUAGUGUAUUAUAUUAUUAUGAACUUUAAAAUCAUGGGAUUUGAACCAGCACUUUUAAGAAUUGAAGUCGAAAGUUUAUCCAUCGAGCCACCGAACAAGGCGGCUUGUCGUCAAAUAAGUUUUUGAGUGAGGUUUAGUGUAUUAUAGUAUUAUGAACUUUAAAAUCGUGGGAUUUGAACAAGGACUUUUAAGAAUUGAAGUCGAAAGUUUAUCCAUCGAGCAACUGAACCUGCAAGCAUGUUGCUAAGAUUUUUUGAGUGAGGUUUAGUGUAUUAUAUUAUUAUGAACUUUAAAAUCGUGGGAUUUGAACAAGGACUUUUAAGAUUUGAAGUCGAAAGUUUAUCCAUCGAGCCACUGAACCUGCGGCAUGUCCCCGAAUUUUUUUUGAGUGAGGUUUUGCGUUUGUGUGUAUUACAUUAUAUAUUUGAGAACUUGAAAAAAUCGUGGGAAUUGAACCAGGACUUUCAAGAACUGAAGUCGAAAUUUUAUCCAUUGAGCCACCGAACAAGGCGGUUUGUCGUUACAGAAGUUUUUGAGUGAGGUUUAGUGUAUUAUAGUAUUAUGAACUUUAAAAUCGUGGUAUUUUAACAAGGACUUUUAAGAAUUGAAGUCGAAAGUUUAUCCAUCGAGCAACUGAACCUGCGGCAUGUCGCCAAAAUCUUUUGAGUGAGGUUUAGUGUUUAUAUUAUUAUGAACUUUAAAAUCGUGAGAUUUGAACCAGAACUUUUAAGAAUUGAAGUCGAAAGUUUAUCCAUCUAGCCACCGAACAAGGCGACUUGUCAUCAAAUAAUUUUGUGAGUGAGGUUUAGUGUAUUAUAUUAUUAUGAACUUUAAAAUCAUGGGAUUUGAACAAGGACUUUUAAGAUUUGAAGUCGAAAGUUUAUCCAUCGAGCCACUGAACCUGCGGCAUGUCCCCGAAUUUUUUUUGAGUGAGGUUUUGCGUUUGUGUGUAUUACGUUAUAUAUUUGAGAACUUGAAAAAAUCGUGGGAAUUGAACCAGGACUUUCAAGAAUUGAAGUCGAAAUUUUAUCCAUCGAGCCUACGAACAAGGUGGCUUGUCGUCAAAGAAGGUUUUGAGUGAGGUUUAGUGUAUUAUAUUAUUAUGAACUUUAAAAUCAUGGGAUUUGAACCAGCACUUUUAAGAAUUGAAGUCGAAAGUUUAUCCAUCGAGCCACCGAACAAGGCGGCUUGUCGUCAAAUAAGUUUUUGAGUGAGGUUUAGUGUAUUAUAGUAUUAUGAACUUUAAAAUCGUGGGAUUUGAACAAGGACUUUUAAGAAUUGAAGUCGAAAGUUUAUCCAUCGAGCAACUGAACCUGCAAGCAUGUUGCUAAGAUUUUUUGAGUGAGGUUUAGUGUAUUAUAUUAUUAUGAACUUUAAAAUCGUGGGAUUUGAACAAGGACUUUUAAGAUUUGAAGUCGAAAGUUUAUCCAUCGAGCCACUGAACCUGCGGCAUGUCCCCGAAUUUUUUUUGAGUGAGGUUUUGCGUUUGUGUGUAUUACAUUAUAUAUUUGAGAACUUGAAAAAAUCGUGGGAAUUGAACCAGGACUUUCAAGAACUGAAGUCGAAAUUUUAUCCAUUGAGCCACCGAACAAGGCGGUUUGUCGUUACAGAAGUUUUUGAGUGAGGUUUAGUGUAUUAUAGUAUUAUGAACUUUAAAAUCGUGGUAUUUUAACAAGGACUUUUAAGAAUUGAAGUCGAAAGUUUAUCCAUCGAGCAACUGAACCUGCGGCAUGUCGCCAAAAUCUUUUGAGUGAGGUUUAGUGUUUAUAUUAUUAUGAACUUUAAAAUCGUGAGAUUUGAACCAGAACUUUUAAGAAUUGAAGUCGAAAGUUUAUCCAUCUAGCCACCGAACAAGGCGACUUGUCAUCAAAUAAUUUUGUGAGUGAGGUUUAGUGUAUUAUAUUAUUAUGAACUUUAAAAUCAUGGGAUUUGAACAAGGACUUUUAAGAUUUGAAGUCGAAAGUUUAUCCAUCGAGCCACUGAACCUGCGGCAUGUCCCCGAAUUUUUUUUGAGUGAGGUUUUGCGUUUGUGUGUAUUACGUUAUAUAUUUGAGAACUUGAAAAAAUCGUGGGAAUUGAACCAGGACUUUCAAGAAUUGAAGUCGAAAUUUUAUCCAUCGAGCCACCGAACCAGAAGUUGGUUGCCAAAUAAUUUUUUGAGUGAGGUUUAUUGUAUUAUAUUAUUACGGACUUUAAAAUCGUGGGAUUUGAACCAGGACUUUUAAGAAUUGAAAUCGAAAUUUUAUCCAUCGAGCCACCGAACCUGCAGUUGGUCGCCAAAGAAUUUUUUGAGUGAGGUUUAUUGUAUUAUAUUAUUACGGACUUUAAAAUCGUGGGAUUUGAACCAGGACUUUUAAGAAUUGAUGUCAAAAGUUUAUCCAUUGAGCCACCGAAGCAGCAGUUGGUCAUAAAAGAAUUUUUUGAGUGAGGUUUAUAUUAUUACGGACUUUAAAAUCAUGGGAUUCGAACCAGAACUUUUAAGAAUUGAAGUCGAAAGUUUAUCCAUCGAGCCACCGAACAAGGCACUUUACCAUCAAAUAAUUUUUUGAGUGAGGUUUAUUGUAUUAUACUAUUAUGAAUUUUAAAAUUGUGGGAUUUUUAAGAAUUGAAGUCAAAGUUUAUCUAUGGAGCCCAAAAAAUUUUUGAAUGAGGAUUUGCGUUCGUGUGUUUUACAUGUUUGUGAACUUGAAUAAAUCGGGGGAUUUGAACCAGGAGUAUUAGGCACCGAAGUCGAACGUUUAUCCUUUGAGCCAAUGAGCUGGCUGUGUUGCCGAUAUUUUUUGAGUGGUUAGUGUGUUUUAUAUGAUUAAGAACUUUAAAAAUGGGGGAGUUUGAACCAGAAGUUUUAGGCAUCGAAGGCAAACAUUUAUCCUUCGAGAUAACCGAUCCUUCGUGUUUUAUAUGAUCGAGAACUUUAAAACUCACAGGAUUUGAAUCAGGACUCACAGUCAUCCAAAUCGAGCGUUCAACCGAGCCACUUGUGCACUGCUAAAGUAUUUUUUUUUGGAGUGAGUUUUUGUGAACCUUAAAAACUGCAGGACUUUGGAGCACCAAAGACAAACAUGUUACUUUUGAGCCACUAACUCAGUAGUGAUCCAUUAAAUUCUGAAUGAAAAACUCUGGGAAUAAACUGACUGACCUCCAAACACCAUAGAAUUCAUCUAUUGAGCUAAGUGCUCAGUGGAGAUUUUUGAGUGAGUGUUUAUUUCCUGAGCCACUUAAUCUGCUUUACACAAAAAAAUAAUGUUCUGCUACAUAAUGGUUCUAAGAUGCAGAUUGCCAAAUCUAAAUUUGAAAACUUGUCUGAAAAAAACCCUUUACUUAAAGGUGCAGUUCUUGAAAAUCAGCGGCCACUAGCGUUGUAUUAUAGUUUUGCAACGAAUCUCUGAGUCAUUUGCUCACCCCUCCCUUUCGAAGUACGACGGUGGCCGCAACAGUAAAAAAAGAUGUCGUCUACUGAGACAGCGGAUAGCAGUGAUACAAGCAACGAUGUUUCUUUACAAAAAGUAAGGCAAUAUAUUAACUUAAUUAAUCAUUUAACAUGUAUUCUAUUGCGAAAUUUACUGUUACAAUUCAAUAAUUAGAUAUAUUUCUUGCGUGCUAUCUAGUACACGCUGAGAGUAGUGAAGUAACUAAAGUUAGCUAAUCGUAAAUAGCAACGCUGUUCAAAGCGUUUGAUCUGACAGUGACAUAGGCAGUUAGGUGUAAGUUAGUAGACGUUUGUCUCCCCAUUUGUAAAGUCAGGAACAACCGGAGUACGUACCGCAGGGACGGAAAAACAUUAUUAUUCUGAGGUUAUAUGGCCAUUUGUAUAAAAUGCUAACGUUACCGUUUCAACAAAACAGUUGUUUGGUAAACAUUGAAAAAGUGGAAACAUUGAAAAUGUUGAAUUAUCUUACAAGUCUAGCAGAAAACAGGCAACUUCGGCGUCGCCUUGAAAACAUUUGUCUUUCAACAGUGCCUUCCAUCUGGUAAUAGAUACAGCGAUGUUUAUCCUGGAUUUCUGCCGCCGUUUGUCUCUAAUUCGUCUGGCAGCAUCACGUUUGCGCUUCUUUGACGACGGAGAUUCACGCUCUGUCGGCUCUUGUGCACAAUACGCAUGGUCCUCCAUUUUAUCAAAACUUCUAAGACAGAACAAUCAAUUGCUUCAGCUAGACGACGACGACUACUCCUCCUUCUCUCCGUACUACGACUUACUACUUUGUGCGUCUUCAACUCAGUGAUGACGCAAGCUGCGUCUAAAAAACACACGAAGAAGACCAACAUAUACGAAACGCGCUCUGUAGAGCUGUUUGUCCGUUAGAGCUUACUGUACAAAACAUGGCUGCGCAACAUAACAAAUUCCAUGUAGAUAGGCCCGCUCCCUAUGUAGAUACAACUGGUUUAUUCUAAGGUAAUAAAAAC
Long non-coding RNA from Triplophysa rosa, 8093 nucleotides. RefSeq lists it as uncharacterized. NCBI's taxonomy places the organism in Eukaryota, Metazoa, Chordata, Actinopteri, Cypriniformes, Nemacheilidae. The transcript has 3 exons. The record is from RefSeq and is a predicted model, not a curated record.